This 317-nucleotide ribosomal RNA is filed under the name uncultured bacterium. RNAcentral's name for it is "bacterial SSU rRNA". It matches the Rfam family "Bacterial small subunit ribosomal RNA", at positions 44 to 357 of the family's 1533-position model. The record is from RNAcentral.
GUGCUUAACACAUGCAAGUCGAGUGCGCGUGCCGUAGCAAUACGGUAUGGCGCACGGCGCACGGGUGCGUAACACGUGGGCAAUCUGCCCUUCGAUGGGGAAUAACUCCGGGAAACCGAAGCUAAUUCCGCAUAACAUUCCUUGGACCUCGGUUCGAGGAUUCAAAGCCGCAAGGCGUCGAAGGAGGAGCCCGCGCACGAUUAGCUAGUUGGUAGGGUAACGGCCUACCAAGGCUUUGAUCGUUAGCUGGUCUGAGAGGAUGGCCAGCCACACUGGAACUGAGACACGGUCCAGACUCCUACGGGAGGCAGCAGUGG